This 433-nucleotide ribosomal RNA is filed under the name uncultured bacterium. Its description in RNAcentral is "partial 16S ribosomal RNA". It matches the Rfam family "Bacterial small subunit ribosomal RNA", at positions 29 to 507 of the family's 1533-position model. The record is from RNAcentral.
AACGAACGCUGGCGGCAUGCCUAACACAUGCAAGUCGAACGAGACCUUCGGGUCUAGUGGCGCACGGGUGCGUAACGCGUGGGAACCUGCCCUUAGGUUCGGAAUAACUCCCCGAAAGGGGUGCUAAUACCGGAUAAUGUCUUCGGACCAAAGAUUUAUCGCCUUUGGAUGGGCCGGCGUUGGAUUAGCUAGUUGGUAGGGUAAAAGCCUACCAAGGCGACGAUCCAUAGCUGGUCUGAGAGGAUGAUCAGCCACACUGGGACUGAGACACGGCCCAGACUCCUUCGGGAGGCAGCAGUGGGGAAUAUUGGACAAUGGGCGAAAGCCUGAUCCAGCAAUGCCGCGUGAGUGAUGAAGGCCUUAGGGUUGUAAAGCUCUUUUACCCGGGAUGAUAAUGACAGUACCGGGAGAAUAAGCUCCGGCUAACUCCGUG